This 492-nucleotide ribosomal RNA is filed under the name uncultured bacterium. RNAcentral's name for it is "partial 16S ribosomal RNA". It matches the Rfam family "Bacterial small subunit ribosomal RNA", at positions 29 to 507 of the family's 1533-position model. The record is from RNAcentral.
AGUGAACGCUGGCGGUAGGCCUAACACAUGCAAGUCGAACGGCAGCACAGUAAGAGCUUGCUCUUACGGGUGGCGAGUGGCGGACGGGUGAGGAAUACAUCGGAAUCUACUUUUUCGUGGGGGAUAACGGAGGGAAACAUACGCUAAUACCGCAUACGACCUACGGGAGAAAGCAGGGGAUCUUCGGACCUUGGGCGAUUGAAUGAGCCGAUGUCGGAUUAGCUAGUUGGCGGGGUAAAGGCACACCAAGGCGACGAUCCGUAGCUGGUCUGAGAGGAUGAUCGGCCACACUGGAACUGAGACACGGUCCAGACUCCUACGGGAGGCAGCAGUGGGGAAUAUUGCACAAUGGGCGCAAGCCUGAUCCAGCCAUACCGCGUGAGUGAUGAAGGCCUUCGGGUUGUAAAGCCCUUUUGUUGGGAAAGAAAAGCAGCAGGUUAAUACCCCGCUGUUCUGACGGUACCCAAAGAAUAAGCACCGGCUAACUUCGUG